RNAcentral lists this long non-coding RNA (1293 nucleotides) under Prunus dulcis (almond). Its description in RNAcentral is "sRNA ncRNA". Lineage: Eukaryota; Viridiplantae; Streptophyta; Magnoliopsida; Rosales; Rosaceae. The record is from RNAcentral.
CGAAAACUUAUUUGGGCCCAACCAUGGACUUUUUUGGGCCUUAACAACGUGCGAAUAUUCCCCGUGUGGAAUUUAGCUCAAACAUUUUGGUGCUUUCAUUGAGAGCACAAGUUAUACUCAACGCGUGCUCCUGAAUCAAAGGAAUCUGUUUCCUUCUAUUCAUCAGUCAACCAGAGCCUUCCAAACAACUAUGGUUGGAAGCAUGCGCACUCAAAGCAAGGUUGUCGCGACGAUGCAAUCCGCAACGAGCCAUACCAUACUUCUCGAGGUCCCAUGAUCGAGAUCGUGGCCUUCGCAUCCUUGUCGCCACAUGGCCGUGCGGCCAGAUCCGAGGCUAAUCACCACGACGAAGCUGCAGUACACGAUGCAGCCACCACUCGUGGCCAUCUUGGCGCCGCCUCCAAUUACAACCCGAUCUUAGAACAACUCCAUAUGUUCCCUCCUUUGCCACUGCGCUUGAUGAUUGCUCCCUACACCUCCAACGAAACCUUAGCCCGCGUGCAACUGGGCUCCACCCAAUUCUCUCAUCUAGAUCCAAGCAAUCAAGUGGACCAACUCACUCAAAUAGUAGACGACCAAAACAACUUGAUUGGAUAGCUUAUUAGGCAGAUCAAUUUGGUCCAAGACCUUAGCCCUGGAUCCCAUGGUAAAGAGAAAAGGAUGGAAUAGCGCAUGCAGGCAGUUCAAGAGGUCCCAAGCAAGUCAAGCCAGAGCAAGUAGGCAACGAGAAGGACUAGAGCGUGCUGCUCAGCAAGUUGGUAUGUCACAUGCAUCAGCGAGCCUUGCUCAAAGUAGAUCGAGGCAUUCAUGAGAGAUUAGGCUCCUGAGGAGAUCAGCAACGCUCACAUGCUCGGUCCGGAAGAGUCAACUCAUGGCGACAAGCCACAAAGGAUCCCUCGCAAGCUCAGUCCACUAACACGCUGCACAGACAGGACAGCCGAGGAGAUCUGCUCAGUAGAGACAACGAGAUUAGAUCUGUGAACAAACUAAAUUGCUCAAAUCCUUCUAAUCAACUUCAAGAUCAUGGGCAAGCAAUGUCCUUUCUUGUUAAAUAGAAUCACGACCACAAAUACACAAUGAAUCAAUAUUGUUUUUUUAGAAAAUUUAAAAUUGCAUUCAUAAUUCAGCCAAAAAAGUCAAUAGCUGGCCACAAAAGACUAGUACUAUGUUAAAUGCUAAGUAAGAAAAUUAGCACCACUGCUAUAUUUAAGCCUAAACUUCUUUUUUUCCACAACUUCAUCCUACACAUCCUAUCAAAAAAUAUAUUUAAAAAUAAAAAAUAAAAACAUUUUC